CUACGGGUUGCUGCAGUGGGGAAUAUUGGACAAUGGGGGAAACCCUGGUCCAGCAAUGCCGCGUGUGUGAAGAAGGCCUGCGGGUUGUAAAGCACUUUCGGUCGGGAGGACUGCUUCUAGCACUAAUAUUGUUGGAAGUUGACGUUACCUUCAGAAGAAGCACCGGCUAACUCCGUGCCAGCAGCCGCGGUAAUACGGAGGGUGCAAGCGUUAAUCGGAAUUACUGGGCGUAAAGCGCGCGUAGGCGGCUAGAUCAGUCGGGUGUGAAAGCCCCGGGCUUAACCUGGGAACUGCAUCCGAUACUGUCUAGCUUGAGUACAGGAGAGGAGAGUGGAAUUCCACAUGUAGCGGUGAAAUGCGUAGAUAUGUGGAGGAACACCAAUGGCGAAGGCAGCUCUCUGGCCUGAUACUGACGCUGAGGCGCGAAAGCGUGGGGAGCAAACAGGAUUAGAUACCCCUGUAGUC
RNAcentral lists this ribosomal RNA (465 nucleotides) under uncultured bacterium. Its description in RNAcentral is "partial 16S ribosomal RNA". It matches the Rfam family "Bacterial small subunit ribosomal RNA", at positions 339 to 795 of the family's 1533-position model. The record is from RNAcentral.